GGCUGGCUGAGAGUAGUGGUGCUUACAACGAAUUGAUCACAGCCUUUGUUCCUUCUCCACGCCCACUGUGUCACUUGACUAGCCUGAA
Otolemur garnettii (small-eared galago) is the source of this 88-nucleotide unclassified non-coding RNA. It matches the Rfam family "Y RNA". Rfam says of the family: Y RNAs are components of the Ro ribonucleoprotein particle (Ro RNP), in association with Ro60 and La proteins. The Y RNAs and Ro60 and La proteins are well conserved, but the function of the Ro RNP is not known. The record is from Ensembl. Lineage: Eukaryota; Metazoa; Chordata; Mammalia; Primates; Galagidae.